AUGGAUAGGAAAAGAAAAGAAAUCCCAUCUAUUAUUACUUACAACAUUUAUUUUAUUGUUUGGUGUUAUCAGAUCCUAUUAUAUUGGUUGAUUAUUAUUCUUCAAAGUUUUACAAGUCUAAUAGUUAGAGAAGUUAUAGCUCUUGUCGAAGAUUGUUUUGUAUCAUUUCUUUUGCUUUUAAUUAUAGGAGGAUGUUUUGUGAAUUCAAAGGCAUUGAGGGUAUGUUUGGGAGUUUGGUUUUGA
Non-coding RNA from Vicia faba (fava bean), 243 nucleotides. Lineage: Eukaryota; Viridiplantae; Streptophyta; Magnoliopsida; Fabales; Fabaceae. The record is from the annotation of a GenBank genome assembly.